Molecule: ribosomal RNA, 233 nt
Filed under: Foraminifera sp.
Lineage: Eukaryota; Foraminifera
Description: partial small subunit ribosomal RNA
Source: RNAcentral
AGUUCGUGGAGUGAUCUGUCUGCUUAAUUGCGUUUCACCAAGGGUUUAUACUUACACUUUAUUUGUUUAUUUAUUUUACAUCUAAAGUAAUAAGCCCUGAAGGCAACGAACGUGACCGUAACCUCUUGUUGCCUUUACAAAAAACACACUAUUGUGUGUAAAAAAAGGCUUAAAAACUAGAGGGACCGCUGUAUUUUUCUUUAAACCAGAGGAAGGUUGCGGCAAUAACAGGU